UACAUGCUUGAUAGGCCAGUAAGAGAAAACUGUGCACGUGGAAGAUGAAUGUAUCAGAGUAACCAAAGAGAGGACAACAGGAACAUUGUAUUUAAUGGCAAUAUCAAUCAUGAAACAGUGAUCUGCACGAUUGAAGAGCUUUGAAAGACACCUUGUCUAGAAAUCAGACCUUGCACAUAAAGGCUUUCAGAUGACACUGCAUCGUGUCUUGAGGAAGGGCUGCUUCUGCACUGGAGUGAAGAUCUGAAUUACAGUAAGAUGACUCUAUCUUCCAUCACAACUGGCUGUCAACUGUCUUGAAAGCAAUGAACUACUUCCCAGCGUGCCAAGCUGAAACUUCUUUCAGACAAGCUACCGGGGGGAAGGACAUCUACUGAAGAAUGAAAAUUUUGAUUUAUCCAUCCUUGCAGUCUCAAAAGUGGAAGAGGAGCUUUUUGAGAAACCUAAUGGUGUAUGUGCAGCUGUAUAUAUUCUCAGCAUAUACUAGGCCUGAUCAAAAGUCUGAGCUCUUCUGAACAAGACUAAUGUUGGGAUCUGCAGCCCUCUCAGAAGAGGAGCAAAUCUGAUGGACCAGCCAAUACAAGAUCAGCCCUGAAGCCACAGACCCUGUUCAGACCCUGAAUUGCUCAUCAUUUCCAGAUUCAUCUCCAGCAGCUCUCCAUCUGUUUCCAGGCUGUUUUCUAAACCAGUGUGAUGCCUCAGGUGCAGAAGAGAGAGACAAUAAUUAACAAUGUGGCCUACAGCAUCUUGGGGAACAAUUAAUUUUAGUGAAUGGACAGGGGAAGGAAGAAGGAAGGUCUCUGGAGGCUGUACCUACACGUGCAAGAAGUUCAGUGCCAUAGGAGGAGAUCCAGCUGAUGCUGAGGACUCACUGAGGGCAAUUUUUUUCCCAUUUCAGGUUUGUUGGCUCCAGCUGAAGCACUUGCAGAAUAAAGUACACACCAGUGUGACAGAAGAUGACAAAACUGAGAUCUUUACUUCUCUCUCCCUCCUUAAGCCAGGGUGAAUGUGCCCUGGACUCCACAGACUGACUCCAUGCCAUGAGGACAUAUGUUUGUGUAUAUAAGAGCACAGUGCAGAAUCAUUUCGGGGAGAAGAGGAAGAAAAUAAUAAUUCUGACGCCAAGUCUUGUUAAUGUCGACCCUCAAAAGUGUCAGUGAUCUCUGAGCAUGUGGGAGCAAGGAAUAGCGAAGGCACCCAUCCCCUGGCUCUCUGCAGUUUGCUGCUGGCCUCCCAGUGACCCCCAGGCUGUCCAGGCCCCUUCCGGUACUGGAAGACUUCUGCAAGGUCUCCUGGAGCCUUCUUCAGGGUGAACAACCUCAACUCUCAGCUUUUCUUCAUAGGAGAGGUUCCCCAACCUUCUGAUCGUCUUCAUGGCCUCCUCUGGACUCUCUCUAACAGGUCCACAUCCUUAUGUUGGGGGUUCCAGAGCUGGAUGCAGUACUCGAGUUUAGAUUUCAAGAGAAUGACACCAGCCAAAUGGGGUUGGCCUUUGUAAACUGAUCUGUUGGGAAGGCUCGCUUGGAAAGACAAGUGCAAUGACUAUUUCUCAAACCAAGGGGCUGUGCAAGAAUUCUCAUGGUAGACAAAUCCAACACCUUACACAGAAAAUAGGAGUCAAGUUGAAUGAGAAGAUGGGAUGGAUUGUGGUGAUCAGAUUCAGACAUUGAUUAUUGCUUAAGACACCAUCUCUUUGAAGAGUAUAUUAUGCAAUAAUACAAUAAUGAUCCAUUUCAGAGCCCGCAAUGAAAAUGAGCAGCAAUAACGCAGCAAUUACCAACUCCCAUGGGCUGACACAAUCACCUCCACAAACCAGCCAUCAAUCACAAGCCACCAAAAAGUCAGGAGUGCAGAGCCAGGCCCUCGGGUGCUGCUGUGAGUGCUCUUUGCAGGGCACUUGUGGCCCCCACCUCGCUGGUAAAAAGGGGCCUCCUUGCAGGGAGUACGUUCCUCUGAGGGGAGGGGCUUCAGCAUCCCUCAGCCUCUCCAGCGCAACCCAGCUUCCUGUGCCAGCUUCAUCAGGACAGAAGUGGCAGGAGCAAUGUGGCCACCUACAAGGUUCUGCAGCCAAAACAACAAAGCCUGCUACAGAAUUGCUUUUUGUUGGACAUAUUGUUGCUGUGAGAAUGUGCCAUCUACUGCUUCAGGACUGUUGUGUUUUACUACAGGCUCCCUGGCUGAAACCUACAAACCCUCCAACAUUUUUUUCCUGUCUUUGCAUUGGGAACAGGUGCUCAGAUAGGGAGCUGUGCUGCCCUCCUACUGGGAAUCAUGUAGCAGCCACCCCUGCCCAUCUCCCCAUCUCAGUUUCCUUCCUGAGUUUUGUCUGACAUGCAUCAGAUGCUGUAAUUGCACAUUUCUCUCAGCUGUGCAUUACUGGAGCAGUUCCAGGUCUGUAACUGUGUUGCUGGGUGGGUCAGGAGGAAGGAAUAAGCAGGCAGGGAGGGGCUCUCCAGCUUGGCAAACCAGGGUCCCAUGGGCUGUGGGAGAACCCAGCUGAAGUCUGAUCUCCCCUCAACAUACAGCAACCCAGAACUACUGGCACUGCUGCAAAGUCCACUUUUGGGCUUACAGCAGCUGCAUAUCCCAGCAUUUUCAGAAGUCCUCAUCUGAGUCUGGUUUGAACUAUCUCCCCUGGGCAGCCAGGUGAAGAAAAAUAAUGAUUUCUCCUAACCAGAGAGGAUGAUAGGAAGUGGCCUCAAGUUGUUCCAGGAGAGAUAUAGAUGGGAUAUCAGGAAAAAUUUUUUCACCAGAGGAGUUUUCAAGCACUGGAACAGGCUGCUGAGGGAAGUGGUGGAAUCACCAUCCCUGGAGGUAUUUAAAAGACAUGCAGAUGUUGGUAUUUAGGGACAGGGCUUAGUGGUGCACUUGUCAGUGCUGUGUUUACCAUCCUACUCGAUGGUCUUUGAGGUCUUUUCAGUCCUAAAUGAUUCCAUGAUUCUAUGAAAUGGUUCGUGUCUUGCUUCCUUCUGUGGGUAGACCAAAAAACCCGCACAAGCUUAGUGUCAAGCAUCCAUCUCACUUAAUGAGUAAUUUUGAAUUUCAAAAUUAAUUACACAUGGGGAAUGAAACCAGAGCAAAAAGGGAGUCAAAAAAUGCUGCAAAUUUUGAAUAGAAGCACCAUAGAGUCAUUUCUUUGCAGUACUGCAAGAACCUACUGUUACAAACCUACUUGAAAGCUCUACCACUUGGGUUGGAAACAACGUGGUGGGGGGAUUUUUUUCCUCUGAUGCUGACUCAUUUUUAAUUACCUUUUGCUCCCUAAUAAAUUUAGAACACUUAAAUUGAAAAUAGCUUUGAUCCACAGCCCCCACUUAUUAUCAGAAAUCUGUGUGCAAUUGCACCCAGUGUUUCAGUUUGCAUAACUUUUUUGUGACGCUAUUAAAGCUGCUUGCAUAAUAAAAUUAAAUGCAGUUUACAUUUA
This is an RNA transcript of Corvus hawaiiensis (hawaiian crow), 3424 nucleotides long. RefSeq lists it as uncharacterized. The transcript is spliced from 16 exons. The record is from RefSeq and is a predicted model, not a curated record. NCBI's taxonomy places the organism in Eukaryota, Metazoa, Chordata, Aves, Passeriformes, Corvidae.